CCGCGGUAAUACGAAGGGGGCUAGCGUUGUUCGGAAUCACUGGGCGUAAAGCGCACGUAGGCGGAUCGAUAAGUCAGGGGUGAAAUCCCGGAGCUCAACUCCGGAACUGCCUUUGAUACUGGGUAUCUCGAGUAUGGAAGAGGUGAGUGGAAUUCCGAGUGUAGAGGUGAAAUUCGUAGAUAUUCGGAGGAACACCAGUGGCGAAGGCGGCUCACUGGUCCAUUACUGACGCUGAGGUGCGAAAGCGUGGGGAGCAAACAGG
Molecule: ribosomal RNA, 262 nt
Filed under: uncultured bacterium
Lineage: Bacteria
Description: partial 16S ribosomal RNA
Rfam family: Bacterial small subunit ribosomal RNA
Source: RNAcentral